GACGAACGCUGGCGGCGUGCUUAACACAUGCAAGUCGAACGGUGAAGCGCCUUCCUUUUUGGUGGGUGUGGAUGAGUGGCGAACGGGUGAGUAACACGUGAGUAACCUGCCCCCUUCUUCUGGAUAACCGCAUGGAAGUGUGGCUAAUACGGGAUAUUCUGGGUCUGUCGCAUGAUGGGUCUGGGAAAGGUAUUGUUUCGGUGGGGGAUGGGCUCGCGGCCUAUCAGCUUGUUGGUGGGGUGAUGGCCUACCAAGGCGGUGACGGGUAGCCGGCCUGAGAGGGUGGACGGUCACACUGGGACUGAGACACGGCCCAGACUCCUACGGGAGGCAGCAGUGGGGAAUAUUGCACAAUGGGCGUAAGCCUGAUGCAGCGACGCCGCGUGAGGGAUGGAGGCCUUCGGGUUGUGAACCUCUUUCGCCAGUGAAGCAGGCCUGCCUCGUUUGUGGGUGGGUUGACGGUAGCUGGAUAAGAAGCGCCGGCUAACUACGUG
RNAcentral lists this ribosomal RNA (494 nucleotides) under uncultured bacterium. Its description in RNAcentral is "partial 16S ribosomal RNA". It matches the Rfam family "Bacterial small subunit ribosomal RNA", at positions 28 to 507 of the family's 1533-position model. The record is from RNAcentral.